GGAAAAAAUUCCCAUUAGAUGGGAGAUGAUGGUACUUCUGGAGUAAGCCCCGGCUAACUACGUGCCAGCAGCCGCGGUAAUACGUAGGGGGCAAGCGUUGUCCGGAUUUACUGGGUGGAAUGGGUGCUCAGGCGGAUUUGUAAGUCAGAGGUGAAAGCUUACAGCUUAACUGUGAAACUGCCUUUGAUACUGCAAGCCUAGAGUAUGGAAGAGAGCGAUGGAAUAUCAGGUGUAGCAGUGAAAUGCGUAGAUAUCAGAUAGAACACCAAUGGCGAAGGCAGUCACUUGGUCCAUUACCGACGCUAAAGCACGAAAGCGUGGG
RNAcentral lists this ribosomal RNA (322 nucleotides) under uncultured bacterium. RNAcentral describes it as "bacterial SSU rRNA". It matches the Rfam family "Bacterial small subunit ribosomal RNA", at positions 443 to 765 of the family's 1533-position model. The record is from RNAcentral.